ACGGGAGGCAGCAGUGGGGAAUAUUGCACAAUGGGCGCAAGCCUGAUGCAGCGAUGCCGCGUGAGGGAAGAAGGUUUUCGGAUUGUAAACCUCUGUCAUCGGGGACGAUAACGACUGUACCCGAGAAGGAAGCUCCGGCUAACUACGUGCCAGCAGCCGCGGUAAUACGUAGGGAGCGAGCGUUAUCCGGAAUUACUGGGUGUAAAGGGAGUGUAGGCGGGACUGUAAGUCAGAUGUGAAAUAUGCCGGCUCAACUGGCAGACUGCAUUUGAAACUGCGGUUCUUGAGUGAAGUAGAGGUAAGCGGAAUUCCUAGUGUAGCGGUGAAAUGCGUAGAUAUUAGGAGGAACACCAGUGGCGAAGGCGGCUUUCUGGACUGUAACUGACGCUGAGGUACGAAAGUGUGGGUAGCGAACAGGAUUAGAUACCCUGGUA
This 434-nucleotide ribosomal RNA is filed under the name uncultured Ruminococcus sp. RNAcentral describes it as "partial 16S ribosomal RNA". It matches the Rfam family "Bacterial small subunit ribosomal RNA", at positions 341 to 792 of the family's 1533-position model. The record is from RNAcentral. Lineage: Bacteria; Bacillati; Bacillota; Clostridia; Eubacteriales; Oscillospiraceae.